AGCAAAAUGAUGAGUCUUGUUGAUCUGAAGUUAAUGUGGAUAACACUGCAAUGGUCUUCAAAGUUCUCUGAUUGUU
Musa acuminata subsp. malaccensis (wild Malaysian banana) is the source of this 76-nucleotide non-coding RNA. Lineage: Eukaryota; Viridiplantae; Streptophyta; Magnoliopsida; Zingiberales; Musaceae. The record is from Rfam.